RNAcentral lists this ribosomal RNA (324 nucleotides) under uncultured eukaryote. RNAcentral's name for it is "partial 18S ribosomal RNA". It matches the Rfam family "Eukaryotic small subunit ribosomal RNA", at positions 1470 to 1796 of the family's 1831-position model. The record is from RNAcentral.
CCCUUAGAUGUUCUGGGCCGCACGCGCGCUACACUGAUGCAUUCAACGAGUUUCUUCCUGGUCCGAGAGGAAUGGGUAACCUUUUGAAAGUGCAUCGUGAUAGGGAUAGACUAUUGCAAUUAUUGGUCUUCAACGAGGAAUUCCUAGUAGACGUAGUUCAUCAGACUGCAUCUAUUACGUCCCUGCCCUUUGUACACACCGCCCGUCGCUCCUACCGAUUGAAUGCUCAGGUGAGCCAUUCGGACUUUCAUCAUGCUGGUUUCCAGUUUUGAUGAAGGAAAGUCUUGCGAACCUUAUCAUUUAGAGGAAGGAGAAGUCGUAACA